Molecule: long non-coding RNA, 383 nt
Filed under: Gossypium barbadense (sea-island cotton)
Lineage: Eukaryota; Viridiplantae; Streptophyta; Magnoliopsida; Malvales; Malvaceae
Description: long non-coding RNA (GBAR_LNC020276)
Source: RNAcentral
AUAUAGCAUUCCCCCCCCCCCUUUUUGCAUGUUGGUCAUAAGUCUUUAAUUUUGUCAAUCUCAGGACACGUUCGUCGCAGGAACGGAUACCACUGGAGCGACAACAGAAUGGAUGAUGGCUGAACUCCUACAGCGUCCAAAUGUAAUGAAAAAGGUCCAAGAAGAGGUAAGGAAUGUGGUGGGAAACAUAUAACAAAAAGUAGUUAACAUGGGAAACAUAUGAUAUGGAGGAUACCAAUAAAAUGAAGUACUUAAAAUGUGUGCUCAAAGAAACUUUAAGACUGCAUCCGACUGUUCCUCUUCUUGUUCCUCGACAAACAUCUGUAAGUGUUGAAUUGGGUGGCUACCACAUUCCUUCCAAUAUCACCAUCUUGAUAAAUGCA